Acanthosepion pharaonis is the source of this 105-nucleotide non-coding RNA. Lineage: Eukaryota; Metazoa; Mollusca; Cephalopoda; Sepiida; Sepiidae. The record is from the annotation of a GenBank genome assembly.
GGCCACAUCACAUUGAAACACAGGUUCCCAUAUGAUCACCAAAGUUAAGCAACACCAAGCUUGGUCAAUAUCUAGAUGGGUGACCACUUGGGAAUACCAGGUGCU